This 433-nucleotide ribosomal RNA is filed under the name uncultured bacterium. RNAcentral describes it as "partial 16S ribosomal RNA". It matches the Rfam family "Bacterial small subunit ribosomal RNA", at positions 29 to 507 of the family's 1533-position model. The record is from RNAcentral.
AGCGAACGCUGGCGGCAGGCUUAACACAUGCAAGUCGAGCGGGCCCUUCGGGGUCAGCGGCAGACGGGUGAGUAGCACGUGGGAACGUACCCUUUGGUUCGGAAUAACGCUGGGAAACUAGCGCUAAUACCGGAUACGCCCUUUUGGGGAAAGGCUUGCUGCCGAAGGAUCGGCCCGCGUCUGAUUAGCUAGUUGGUGGGGUAAUGGCCUACCAAGGCGACGAUCAGUAGCUGGUCUGAGAGGAUGAUCAGCCACACUGGGACUGAGACACGGCCCAGACUCCUACGGGAAGCAGCAGUGGGGAAUAUUGGACAAUGGGCGCAAGCCUGAUCCAGCCAUGCCGCGUGAGUGAUGAAGGCCUUAGGGUUGUAAAGCUCUUUUGUCCGGGACGAUAAUGACGGUACCGGAAGAAUAAGCCCCGGCUAACUUCGUG